GGGCGGGAGGUGUGAUUGCCGCAGAGCUCUGCCAGCCCGUCCGAUGGUGUGGAGCUCCAAAGCUGUGCCCGAUGGAGAUCCUCCCGGACCUUUAAGAGACCCCUGUCAUGAGCGAGUGUUCGUGACCGCACCACUUCCGCUCUGACCGCUUGCUGUGCAGAUCACAGCAGCCACAGAUGUACAGCAAAUUUUAUUCAUUUUCAUUUUAGGUGGCAGACUCAGCAC
Molecule: long non-coding RNA, 225 nt
Filed under: Scleropages formosus (Asian bonytongue)
Lineage: Eukaryota; Metazoa; Chordata; Actinopteri; Osteoglossiformes; Osteoglossidae
Description: lncRNA (ENSSFOG00015025303.1)
Source: RNAcentral